CCUACGGGAGGCUGCAGUGAGGAAUAUUGGUCAAUGGGCGCGAGCCUGAACCAGCCAAGUCGCGUGAAGGAUGACUGCCCUACGGGUUGUAAACUUCUUUUAUAAAGGAGUAAAGUGAGGCACGUGUGCCUUUUUGUCUGUACUUUAUGAAUAAAGAUCGGCUAACUCCGUGACAGCAGCCGCGGUAAUACGGAGGAUCCGAGCGUUAUCCGGAUUUAUUGGGUUUAAAGGGAGCGUAGAUGGGUUGUUAAGUCAGAUGUGAAAGUUUGCGGCUCAACCGGAAAAUGGCAAUUGAUACUGGCAGACUUGAGUACAGAUGAGGAAGGCGGAAUUCGUGGUGUAGCGGUGAAAUGCUUAGAUAUAACGAAGAACUCCGAUUGCGAAGGCAGCCUACUAAACUGUCACUGACAUUGAUGCUCGAAAGUGUGGGUAUCAAACAGGAUUAGAUACCCCAGUAGUC
This 460-nucleotide ribosomal RNA is filed under the name uncultured bacterium. Its description in RNAcentral is "partial 16S ribosomal RNA". It matches the Rfam family "Bacterial small subunit ribosomal RNA", at positions 338 to 795 of the family's 1533-position model. The record is from RNAcentral.